Molecule: non-coding RNA, 3842 nt
Organism: Kogia breviceps (pygmy sperm whale)
Lineage: Eukaryota; Metazoa; Chordata; Mammalia; Artiodactyla; Physeteridae
Source: RefSeq, a predicted model, not a curated record
CGCGCCUCAGCCAAUCGCGUGCUCGCCCGCCCCCCGCGGCCGCGGCGAGGCUGGCUCUGGGAAGAGGAAGAAGAACAUUCGCCCUCCUCCUACCAGCGCGCGGGCGGCGGCGGCGGCGGCGGCACCGGGGUCACGAACUCUGACCUUUCACUGACAAAAACAAUAACAAACCCCUCCUUCCCCGCGACCCCGGCGGCGCCUCCGGGCCCGCCCUCGCCGCCGCGCUCCCACCUGGGCGUCUCGUUUCUCGCCCGCUGACCUGCGAGCCCGGGGCUCCCGCCAUCCACCGACGCCGGGAAACCGGCCUCCCCGCGCCCUGCCCUCCGCGCCGGGGGCCGCCCGCCGCAGACACGGGACCUGCUUCGAGGUCGCUUUGGCGCCAAAUCCUGAGGUUCUCUAAUGAUCUUGCUUCACCAUGGCUACAAAUAUGGAGGGGCUGGUUCAGCACAGAGUGGGGACCCAGCAGGUGGCUGAGGUACCACGUACACAGACUUCUCGGCCGGAAUCUCCAGGGAUGACCAGCCCCUCCCCGCGCAUCCAGAUAAUCUCCACUGAUUCUGCGGUAGCCUCACCUCAGCGCAUUCAGAUCGUGACAGACCAGCAGACAGGACAGAAGAUCCAGAUAGUCACCGCAGUGGACGCCUCCGGAUCCCCCAAGCAGCAGUUCAUCCUGACCAGCCCAGAUGGAGCUGGAACUGGGAAGGUGAUCCUGGCUUCCCCGGAGACCUCCAGUGCCAAGCAGCUCAUAUUCACCACCUCGGACAACCUCGUCCCUGGCAGGAUCCAAAUCGUCACGGACUCUGCUUCUGUGGAGCGUCUUCUGGGGAAGGCCGACGUCCAGCGGCCGCAGGUGGUAGAGUACUGUGUGGUGUGUGGCGACAAAGCCUCGGGCCGUCACUAUGGGGCUGUCAGUUGUGAAGGUUGCAAAGGUUUCUUCAAAAGGAGCGUAAGGAAAAAUUUGACGUACAGCUGCCGGAGCAAUCAAGACUGCAUCAUCAAUAAACACCACCGGAACCGCUGUCAGUUUUGCCGGCUGAAAAAAUGCUUGGAGAUGGGCAUGAAGAUGGAAUCUGUGCAGAGUGAACGGAAGCCCUUUGAUGUGCAGCGGGAGAAACCAAGCAAUUGUGCUGCUUCAACAGAGAAAAUCUAUAUCCGGAAGGACCUGAGAAGUCCUCUGAUAGCCACACCAACAUUUGUGGCAGAUAAAGAUGGAGCAAGACAAACAGGUCUUCUUGAUCCAGGGAUGCUUGUGAACAUCCAGCAACCUUUGAUACGUGAGGAUGGUACGGUUCUCCUGGCCACAGAUUCCAAGGCUGAAACAAGCCAGGGAGCCCUGGGCACACUGGCAAAUGUAGUGACUUCCCUUGCCAACCUAAGUGAAUCCCUUAACAAUGGUGACACUUCAGAAAUGCAGCCAGAGGACCAGUCUGCAAGUGAGAUUACUCGGGCAUUCGAUACCUUAGCUAAAGCACUUAACACCACAGACAGCUCCUCGCCUCCAAGCCUGGCGGACGGGAUAGACGGCAGUGGAGGAGGGAGCAUCCACGUCAUCAGCAGAGACCAGUCCACACCCAUCAUUGAGGUCGAAGGCCCCCUCCUUUCAGACACCCACGUCACAUUUAAGCUCACGAUGCCCAGCCCGAUGCCCGAGUACCUCAACGUGCACUACAUCUGCGAGUCCGCGUCCCGCCUGCUCUUCCUCUCCAUGCACUGGGCCAGGUCCAUCCCGGCCUUUCAGGCACUUGGGCAGGACUGCAACACCAGCCUGGUGCGGGCCUGCUGGAACGAGCUCUUCACCCUCGGCCUGGCCCAGUGCGCCCAGGUCAUGAGCCUCUCCACCAUCCUGGCCGCCAUCGUCAACCACCUGCAGAACAGCAUCCAGGAAGAUAAACUUUCUGGCGACCGGAUAAAGCAAGUCAUGGAGCACAUCUGGAAGCUUCAGGAGUUCUGUAACAGUAUGGCGAAGCUGGAUAUAGACGGCUAUGAGUAUGCAUACCUUAAAGCUAUAGUUCUCUUUAGCCCCGAUCAUCCAGGUUUGACCAGCACAAGCCAGAUUGAAAAAUUCCAAGAAAAGGCACAGAUGGAGUUGCAGGACUAUGUUCAGAAAACCUACUCAGAAGACACCUACCGGUUGGCCCGGAUUCUCGUCCGCCUGCCAGCACUCAGGCUGAUGAGCUCCAACAUAACAGAAGAACUUUUUUUUACUGGUCUCAUUGGCAAUGUUUCAAUAGACAGCAUAAUCCCCUACAUCCUCAAGAUGGAGACGGCAGAGUAUAACGGCCAGAUCACCGGAGCCAGCCUAUAGCUCACACCUCACACCUGCCGAGGAGCACAGGGUCUGCCCAGGACCGCUCCAAUACAAAGAGAAUAAAGUAGUGGUAUUUUGGUAUGUGCAGAUAUUUUCAGUAUCUUCUUAGCUAUUUCCUACCUGGUUUCUUCUUAUCUGCUAAUCCCAGACAGUAGCAACUAAAAGACUAGUAGGAUCCUUUCCUGCCGUAAGAAAUGUUUUAAUGCCUUUUGAUGAAGCAGCGGAUUUUGGAACAAUCUUUUAACUCAGUUUUUAUUUAGAAAUUCUCAAAGGGCAAAAAACAAAAGCAAAGUUUUAUAAUGUCAGAGACUAAAGAAAACUAAAAGAACCUAAGAGAACAAACAGUAUGUGUGUAUAUAUUAAAAAUGUCCUUGGAAUUAAUAGCUACUAAUUACCAGGGUAAUGAUAUUAGCACUUUCUAAGCACUUCUUAUCAAUGUGUAAUGUUAGCAACAUCUUGCCUAUGUGCAGGGCAAAUGGAAAACUGUGUAUGUCUUUUGCCGAAAUGCUAAUGAUUUCUGUGAAAAUGCAAUAGGGUUACAGGAGACAAUCAUUUAUGCUUAAGGAAGGAAGGUGUCAUUCCUAACUGUACGCACAUAUUGCUGGUGUAGAGCUAAAUUCCCGGGAAUGAAUGAAGACGCAGCUUAUCUGUACGCGCAGUCAGGGGGAGUGUGGUGGCACAAUCGUGGUGACCCGAAUUCGAAGCUUCCUCAGCCAGAGCUGAUGCUUGUCGGGUACCCUGACCUCUGGUCCUGGUCUGUGACGGGCAUCUGCAGGCUACUCGGAACUCGGGGCUCUUCUGAUGACUGGUUCUCAGAAUUGGAUUAAACCAGUCAGAUGUUUAACUGCCAGUUCCUGCAGCAACUGAAAACAUCCCCGAAUCACCUCCACCACUCACAGCAGUUGGAGCGUUCUGACCAAAAAGUGCAAGGUAUCAUCUUCUUUCUCCUUGCACGUGAUAGCGACCAUCGUUUACGAGAACAGAAUGCGGUUAUUGGGAAGUUUAGCCGGAGGAAAGCGCCCAUAGUUCCCCUGGUUGUGAAGAAGCAGCACACAUUUCCAUUUGGGAAAAGUAGCAAAGCUGCAUCAGGUACCUGUACUUUCUUUCUGUGUAGCCCAGAUUAAGAAAAUACAGUGUGAGGCUAAACUUUUAUUUCUUGAACCUUUUGAUCAGAUGAUACCCCAAAAGACCCCAGUGCACUCACUCCCCUGCCUCCAGGCAUCCACGGCCGUGUAAAGCUGAGGAGAGCAAGGUGGGUGCCUCGUGUGCUGCGCGUGGGUGCUGGGCCACCACCACGGGCUCACGGCAAGACGGGACUCUAUUCCGAAGUUGUUGGUGGAACUUAUGGAAGUCAUUAGUGGGAAUUAGUGGGAACAGUGUCUCCAACUUGGAAAUUCCUGUUUGGAUCUGAUUAUAUCAUUUAUCGUUCAUGCCUUGGGAGCAAAUUUUGGAGAACAGCGGGGGUACCUGUUAUAAAAUAAUGGGAAGGCUUUAAUUUUGACAGCUUAAAUUUUUGGUUUUCUAACUUUGAAGU